AAGGUGCCAUAUCCAGGGACC
Molecule: microRNA, 21 nt
Filed under: Chlamydomonas reinhardtii
Lineage: Eukaryota; Viridiplantae; Chlorophyta; Chlorophyceae; Chlamydomonadales; Chlamydomonadaceae
Description: cre-miR905-3p
Gene: cre-miR905-3p
Source: miRBase by way of RNAcentral